UUUCCGUAGGUGAACCUGCGGAAGGAUCAUUAUAAAUGAAAAACGAAUAACUUCAGGGAAGAAGGGAACCUGCACGGUGACCUCCCCUGUCGGGCCACCCAAUACCUUCAAAAUACCGCCGUCCUAGCGGUGGCAGACGAAAAAAAAACAAGAAAAACAAAAUAGAAACAGGCACGGUGGCCCGUUCACCUUCACACAACCCUCCGAGUACCGCUUCCAUGUUGCUUCCCCGCAAAUCCACCUCUUUGGUGAGCGCGGGGGAGGUCCGCAUCAAAUUCACCUGAAUGUCACAGCAGUCAGACAGCCAUUCAUGGAAACGAUAAAACUUUCAACAACGGAUCUCUUGGUUCCC
RNAcentral lists this unclassified non-coding RNA (352 nucleotides) under plant metagenome. Its description in RNAcentral is "partial contains small subunit ribosomal RNA, internal transcribed spacer 1, and 5.8S ribosomal RNA". The record is from RNAcentral.